UAUGAUGGUCUAUGGCAAAGAGUCAUUUCU
RNAcentral lists this non-coding RNA (30 nucleotides) under Rattus norvegicus (Norway rat). The record is from RNAcentral. Lineage: Eukaryota; Metazoa; Chordata; Mammalia; Rodentia; Muridae.